Molecule: ribosomal RNA, 489 nt
Filed under: uncultured bacterium
Lineage: Bacteria
Description: bacterial SSU rRNA
Rfam family: Bacterial small subunit ribosomal RNA
Source: RNAcentral
AAAUGAAUAGACGGGCACCCGCACAAGCGGUGGAGCAUGCUGUUUAAUUCGAAGAUACGCGAAGAACCUUACCUAGAUUUGACAUCCCCGGCAAAGCUAUAGAAAUAUAGUGGAGGUUAACCGGGUGACAGGUGGUGCAUGGUUGUCGUCAGCUCGUGUCGUGAGAUGUUCGGUUAAGUCCGAUAACGAGCGCAACCCUUAUUACUAGUUACUAACAGUUCGGCUGAGGACUCUAGUGAUACUGCCGGUGAUAAACCGGAGGAAGGUGGGGAUGACGUCAAAUCAUCAUGCCCCUUACAUCUAGGGCUACAGGCGUGCUACAAUGGCCAAUACAAAGAGACGCAAUACCGCGAGGUGGAGCAAAUCUCAAAAAUUGGUCCCAGUUCGGAUCGGAGUCUGCAACUCGACUCCGUGAAGUUGGAAUCGCUAGUAAUCCUGAAUCAGAAUGUCAGGGUGAAUACGUUCCCGGGUGUUGUACACACCGCCCGU